This 406-nucleotide ribosomal RNA is filed under the name uncultured bacterium. Its description in RNAcentral is "partial 16S ribosomal RNA". It matches the Rfam family "Bacterial small subunit ribosomal RNA", at positions 30 to 526 of the family's 1533-position model. The record is from RNAcentral.
AUUGAACGCUGGCGGCAGGCCUAACACAUGCAAGUCGAACGAGUGGCGGACGGGUGAGUAAUGUCUGGGAAACUGCCUGAUGGAGGGGGAUAACUACUGGAAACGGUAGCUAAUACCGCAUACCAUCAGAUGUGCCCAGAUUGGAUUAUCUAGUAGGUGGGGUAAUGGCUCACCUAGGCGACGAUCCCUAGCUGGUCUGAGAGGAUGACCAGCCACACUGGAACUGAGACACGGUCCAGCCGCCUACGGGAGGCAGCAGUGGGGAAUAUUGCACAAUGGGCGCAAGCCUGAUGCAGCCAUGCCGCUGGUGUGAAGAAGGCCUUCGGGUUGUAAAGCACUUUCAGCGAGGAGGCGUUACCCGCAGAAGAAGCACCGGCUAACUCCGUGCCAGCAGCCGCGGUAAUUC